GUAUUGAUUGCGUGUUAUCGCAAAAAUGGGGGUCAUUCUACACUUUUAAAAUAGGGGUUUGUGUGAAAACGCAAGCCCCCCUCCCGGAUCGGUUUGAUCCCAAAGGGUGCCCACGCGGUGAUGCACAAAGGGUGAGAUGGAUUAUUAUGUGAGGAAACACACCCGGGCGUGCACGACAUUGAGUCAGCGACAGCCCUUGCAUGCCCCUCACAUUUUGUACGAUAAUGAUCCUUCCGCAGGUUCACCUACGGAAA
RNAcentral lists this unclassified non-coding RNA (254 nucleotides) under uncultured fungus. Its description in RNAcentral is "sequence contains ITS1". The record is from RNAcentral. Lineage: Eukaryota; Fungi.